GACGAACGCUGGCGGCGUGCUUAACACAUGCAAGUCGAACGGAAAGGCCCUGCUUGCAGGGUACUCGAGUGGGGAACGGGGGAGUAACACGUGGGUGUACUGCGCUGUACUUCGGGGUAUGCCUGGGGAACUGGGUGUAAUACAGGAUAGGAGCCAUCCUUCGUGUGGUGGUUGGAUGGAUUUUUGGGUGUAGGAUGGGUUCGCGGCCUGUCAGCUUGUUGGUGGGGUAAUGGCCUACCAAGGAGGCGUCGGGUAGCCGGCCUGGGAGGGUGGACGGCCACAUUGGGACUGAGAUACGGCCCAGACUCCUACGGGAGGCAGCAGGGGGGAAUAUUGCACAAUGGGCGCAAGCCUGAUGCAGCGACGCCGCGUGGGGGAAGACGGCCUUCGGGUUGGAAACUCCUUUCGCUAGGGACGAAGCUUUUUGUGACGGUACCUAGAUAAGAAGCACCGGCUAACUACGUG
RNAcentral lists this ribosomal RNA (465 nucleotides) under uncultured bacterium. RNAcentral's name for it is "partial 16S ribosomal RNA". It matches the Rfam family "Bacterial small subunit ribosomal RNA", at positions 28 to 507 of the family's 1533-position model. The record is from RNAcentral.